RNAcentral lists this ribosomal RNA (387 nucleotides) under Triticum aestivum (bread wheat). RNAcentral's name for it is "partial small subunit ribosomal RNA". Lineage: Eukaryota; Viridiplantae; Streptophyta; Magnoliopsida; Poales; Poaceae. The record is from RNAcentral.
AUGCUUGGCCCACUUGUCGCCGUCGAUGCUGGCGAGGCCUUCGGCGAGCAGCUUGGACAGCGCCGGAAGCUUGGUCUUCUCGAAGUGGCCGAACUUGUUGGACAUGACGUCUUUGGCGAGGUCGGGGUCGCUGAUGGUGACCUUGGGGAUCGGGCCGACCCAAGAGAAGCACGUCCUCCCGUGUUCCUGAACGGCGUUGUAGAGGAAAGGCGCGACAUGGGCGGAGAUGUCGUGGCACCCCAGCGGCAAGGGCCUCGCCCAGGCCUCCUUGUGCACCCGGCCGUACUCCUUGAGGUCGCCGACGGGGAAGCGGUAGGGCGUGCCGCGGAGGCCCUGCGCUCUGAGCUCGCGCUCCAGCCGCCGCGGCCGCAGCCACAGCAUGUCUAG